Molecule: long non-coding RNA, 1982 nt
Organism: Mustela lutreola (European mink)
Lineage: Eukaryota; Metazoa; Chordata; Mammalia; Carnivora; Mustelidae
Exons: 8
Source: RefSeq, a predicted model, not a curated record
UACUUCUUUUAAUACUUACAACCCUGGAGGAAGGCAGGGCGGUUGCUUUCAUACGUUUUGCAGCAGCCCGGGUUGAAUCCAGAUAGGCUCUAUGAUGUGCACGGGGUAUCACAAGGCUAAUAAUGAUAGCUAACCGAUUCCUCAGGAUGCGUCUGCCAGAGGUCUGGGUAUGAGGCAGCCCUGCCAAUCACAGAGGAGUCAAACCCACUGACCCAGGACCUCGACAAAGCAGAUGCCGAGGAAAUUGUUCCAUUGCUGGGACAAUGUGAUGCUGAGAUCUUCCAGGAGGAGCGGCAAGUCAUGCCCACAGACUAGGAACCUGAGGGGGAGCUGGUGGUGCUGAGUGGAGGGGGCAGCUCUGGCAGGAUGGCGUUUCUCAUGUCUGUCUCCUUCAACCAGCUUUGAAAGGUCUAGGACAGAAACCUCUACACCUACCUCAUUGCAAGCAGUGACAGGUCUGUGGUGGCAUCUAGGGAGGGGACAGAAGAUAGUGCCCUGCACGGGAUUGAAGAACUGAAGAAGGUCUGUGUUUUCCCCUGAUAGUCAACCAGACGUCUCUGUCUGUUCCUUCUCACGAGGACACUGAAGUCCCCAUCCAGCCAAAGCCCGUUCUCUUCCGCAGUCCUGACCCUGACAUCUCCAUGCAAUAGGCUCACUUUGUGGCAGGCCAGGUGGACUCCGGCAUGGACAGCCCAGGCACCUUCUUACCAGUCCUGGUUGGUUUCAGCCCCGUGAACAUGGCCAGACCCCUCUGAGGAAGCUCUUCCCUCCAUCAUCCGCAUCACGUGGCCACUGCUUUUCUUCGAAUAGGAAGGGAACUUCAUCCAGAGAGAGAACACGAGUGUGGGGGAUGGGCAGAAGGCGAGCGAGAGAAUCUCAAGGAGACUCAGCCCUGAGUGUGGAACCCAACGUGGGGUUUGAUCUCAUGAUUCUGAGAUCACGACCUGAGCUGAGACAGAGAGUCGGACACUUCGCUGACUGAGCCACCCAGGCACCUCUCUUCGGCUCAUUUCUAAUUGGAUUACUUGGUUUUUGGGGUGUUGAAUUGUGUAAUUUCUCUCUCUCUAUUGGAUACUAACCCUUUAUCGGAUAUGUCAUUAGCAAAUAUCUUCUCCCACUCAGUAAGUUGUUGUUUGGUUUUGUUGGUUGCUUCCUGUGCUGUGCAGAAGCUUUUAGUUUUGGUGUAGUCCUAACAGUUUAUUUCUGCUUUGCUUUCCCUUGCCUCAGGAGACAUAUCUAGAAAUAUGUUGCUGUGGCCAAUGUCAGAGAUCUUACUCCCUGCGCUCUCUUCCAGGAUUUUUAUGGUUUCAGGUCACACAUAGAGGUCCUUUACCUGUUUUGAGUUUAUUUUUGUGUAUGUUGUAAGAAAAUGGUCCAAUCUCAUCCUUUUGCAUGUAGCUGGUCAGUGUUCUCAACACCAUUUGUUGAAGAGACUUUUUCCCAUCACAUAUUUCCUCCUUUGUCAAAGAUUAAUUGACCAUAUCAUCAUGGGUUUAUUUCUGACUUUCUAUUCUGUUCCAUUGAUCUGUGUGCCUGUUUUUGUGCCAGUACCAUACUAUUUUGAUUGUUAUAGCUUUGUAGUAGUAUACCUUGGAAUCUGGGAUUGUGACCCCUCCAGAUGUGUUUUUUUCCUCCCCUAUGAUUGUUUUGGCAGUUUGGGAUCUUUUGUGGUUCUGUACAAAUUUUAUGAUUGUUCUAGUUGCGUGAAAAAUGUUCCCUGACAUUUAGUAAGUGCUCCCUGGGUGUCUGUGAAAUGAAUACAUGACUUUUCAAUUUUAACCCUGGGUGACUGACAAGAUGAUGGCAUUUUGAACAACAUAGGAAACAUUAGGCAGAAGUUGUGUGGUAGGAGGCUGAAAAUGAACUCUACCAUUUGAAGUGCUUGUAAAAUCUAUGCAGAGAUGUUCACCUUGCCGCUCAAAUUAAUUGUCUAGACCUGUGCUACCCAGUCCGGUAUCCACUGGCCACGUGGCGCCAUUCAA